CGUUGCUGUUAAAAUGUAGCUUCUGAAAAGCAGGUUUGAUUUAAAAGAUCUACCAUGAUGUGAUGUGGCAGCCCCUAUCUUUCAUUAGCCCUUUGAAAAGCUUUAGGUAUUGUAAUGCAGUUUCUUUUUUCAGGCAGAGUAAAUGGAAAGGCCAUUUUUGAUGGUUUCUGCGCUUUCUGGACCCUGAACCGAGGGCUGACUGAACAGGGAAUGAGCAGUUCAGCAUCAUUCUCCCUCCAGAUUCAGGAGCAUCAGCCCUUCACAUGGGGUCAGUGCUACCUCAGAUGGCUCAAAGGCAAUCACAGGCUGAUGGACCAAGGGACUGAGAAUGUGCAGUUGUGCUGCUUGAACUCUUUGUGCAGUGCUUCAGAAAUCAGUGCCAUGCUGCUGGUAACCCCCUGAAACACACACACCCUUCCUGAGCUCCACUACCCACCAAGCUGAAGGAAAACUUUUUAUCCUAACUACAGAGACAGCAACAGCCAUGAAAGUACCUAAUUCACUUCAGUCUAUCUCAGCUCUCUGUUUCCUCUCUACUGCCCAUCUUUAGCUGUCACUGUGGUCGAUGGCUGCUGAAAAGCCUUGUCCUGUUCCUGCAUCUUGUUCUGAACAUACAGGCCAGCAGCGCUGGGAAGGAGGAAAUGCUGCUGCUCAUGUGAGCUGUCCUGAGUGUUGGCAGAGCUGUGAGUUUCAGAACAGAGUGAUGUAUUUCAGCUGUUGUGAAAUUCCUGAAUAAUCAGCUCAUCAAAAAAUACCAUGCAGAGUUCCCUUGUAGUCCUGUCCAACUUGCCACCUCUCCUGCCAAUAGCUCUGUAGGGUGACCACAGCCUGGCACAGCCCAUUAACAGAGCUCUGCACACUCAUGAAUAGAGCUGGCUGGAAAAUGCAAUUUUUCUUCUAGGGGGAAAAAGAAAAAUUAUUGGUACAAGAGUCUUUCUAGCUUUGCAUUUCAGCGUUUCAGGAUGAAGAUUUCACCCACUGUUCCCUCCAGCACCCUCUGCUGUUCUCUGUGUUCAUUCCUCCCCACCCCACUUUUUUGGAAGGCAGCUCCAGAAAAAGGAGAAUCGCAUUUCAAAUGGCCAUGUGGUUGCUGUUUGCCUUACUGAUGAGCUCCUCUUGGCUCCAAGAUUGGGAGUCUUGCUGCAAGACAGGCACUGACCAGCUGGCACCUCCUCAAGGUGGUGCUCCUGGGUGAUGUGUUCUAGGACCUGCAGCUUUUACUGCUACUACUCAGUCUCCUGUCUUGAAAAGAUAUUGAGCAGCUUCAGGACCACCAAAAAUGAGGUAAUGGCCCUAAGUCGCACCAAGAGAGGUUCAUCUUGAAUAUUAAAAUUUCUUCUCAGAACAAGGUGGUGAUGCAUUGGAACAGGUGGCCCAGUGAGGUGGUGGAGUCACUGUCCCUGGAGGUGUUCAGGAAACAUGGAAGUGUUGUUAACAAGUGAGUGACAUGGAUUGGUGGGGAUGGGAUGAUGGUUGGAGAGGAUGAUGUUAGAGUCAUUAAGGUUGGCCAAGACCUCUAUGAUGCUGUGACUGUAUCCUUGGGGGAAGGCAGGCAUUGGAAGGGUAGACCUGUCCUGGCCUCAGCAUUUCUCAGCACAUGGCCUACUGCCUGUACUCUUGAGGACGGUCCAUACAGGGCCCCCAGGGCCCUCAUCAGUGACCACUUUUAGUCACACCCUGGGAGAUAUAAAGGGUACACACACACACACAUACAAAAGCAUGCUUGAAACUCAUGGUUCUUACAUAAUUAAGUACGUUGAAAUAGCAAACAAGCCUUUGAAAAGCAGCAGGUAAGUCACAAAUCACAAAAUGGAAUCUGCUCCUCCGCUCCGGCAGCGCUGAUCCCCACUGCAGACGAGGAUUU
RNAcentral lists this long non-coding RNA (1864 nucleotides) under Gallus gallus (chicken). RNAcentral describes it as "long non-coding RNA NONGGAT002212". The record is from RNAcentral. Lineage: Eukaryota; Metazoa; Chordata; Aves; Galliformes; Phasianidae.